Molecule: ribosomal RNA, 468 nt
Filed under: uncultured bacterium
Lineage: Bacteria
Description: partial 16S ribosomal RNA
Rfam family: Bacterial small subunit ribosomal RNA
Source: RNAcentral
GACGAACGCUGGCGGCGUGCUUAACACAUGCAAGUCGAACGGAAAGGCCCUGCUUUUGUCUGCUGCUCGAGUGGCGAACGGGUGAGUAACACGUGAGUAACCUGCCCUUGACUUUGGGAUAACUACAGGAAACUGGGGCUAAUACCGCAUAGGAGCACCUGCUGCAUGGUGUUGGUUGGAAAGUUGCGGUGGUUGGGGUUCGACUCGCGGCUUAUCUGCUUUUUGGUGGGGUAGUGGAAUCCCAUGGCUUUGACGGGUAGCCGGCCUGGGAGUGUGACCGGCCACAGUGGGACUGAGAUAGCACCAAUAGUCCUACGGGGGGCAGGAGUGGAAGAUAUUGCACAAUGGGCGGAAGCCGUAUGGAGCAACGCCGCGUGCGGGAUGACGGCUUUCGGGUUGUAAACCGCUUGCGCCUGUGACGAAGCGUGAGUGACGGUAAUGGGUAAAGAAGCACCGGCUAACUACGUG